Long non-coding RNA from Sinocyclocheilus anshuiensis, 498 nucleotides. RefSeq lists it as uncharacterized. The transcript is spliced from 3 exons. Lineage: Eukaryota; Metazoa; Chordata; Actinopteri; Cypriniformes; Cyprinidae. The record is from RefSeq and is a predicted model, not a curated record.
GCCAGAUCACGCUGACCGCUCGAGAUCUGGCCUCGGGUGAAGCCGUGACCCCUGACCCCAGAGGUGGACUGGUGGAAAUCAGCAGUGACGGGAUCUUCACAGGCAUCAGAGGAAGGAGUCAAGGGCCAAAACUCCCUCUGCUGGAUCUUCAUCGACAUCAGGGCCUCCACAGCUUCUGAAUAUCUCCAGUCUGAAUCAGACUGCUAGAUAAAACCGAGCCGGGCCGUGGAGGUCGUGCUUUCGCCUCCAGCCAAUCAUCGACAAAGGUGUGCGGAGCGUCAGCCAAUCAGAAGCGCGCGUCGCUGCGUGAUCAGCGGCUGAUCCGCGCGGUGUGUGCGGGUGGUACACAGUCGGUCAGCUGUGUGUGCAAGCUAUAAAAAGACUGAUGCGUGGAUAUUUAAGCUGAGCCAUGCUGGACCUGAUUCAGCUCUGGCAUUUUACUCACAUGUUUUAUUCACGCUUACAACAGCGACCCCUAAAAAGCCUUGAUUUUCUUCA